This 95-nucleotide ribosomal RNA is filed under the name uncultured bacterium. RNAcentral's name for it is "partial 16S ribosomal RNA". The record is from RNAcentral.
CAUCGCCACGGUGAAUACGUUCCCGGGCCUUGUACACACCGCCCGUCACGCCAUGGAAGUGGCGAGCGCCUAGGGUAAAACUGGUGACUGGGGCU